This 200-nucleotide unclassified non-coding RNA is filed under the name uncultured Arthroderma. RNAcentral's name for it is "sequence contains ITS2". The record is from RNAcentral. Lineage: Eukaryota; Fungi; Ascomycota; Eurotiomycetes; Onygenales; Arthrodermataceae.
CAACCCUCAAGCCCGGCUUGUGUGAUGGACGACCGUCCAGCCUUACGGCGGGACGCGCCCGAAAUGCAGUGGCUAGGCCGCGAUUCCGGCGCCUGAGCGAAUGGGACUUCCAACGCUUUCUAGGACCGGCCGGCUUCUCUGGCCUUUUAACCGGACGUGUUUCCUUCUUUAACGGGAGGGGGACCGCCCACUUAACCAAA